RNAcentral lists this ribosomal RNA (512 nucleotides) under uncultured bacterium. RNAcentral describes it as "partial 16S ribosomal RNA". It matches the Rfam family "Bacterial small subunit ribosomal RNA", at positions 28 to 507 of the family's 1533-position model. The record is from RNAcentral.
GAUGAACGCUGGCGGCGUGCCUAAUACAUGCAAGUCGAACGAAACUUCUUUAUCACCGAGUGCUUGCACUCACCGAUAAAGAGUUGAGUGGCGAACGGGUGAGUAACACGUGGGCAACCUGCCCAAAAGAGGGGGAUAACACUUGGAAACAGGUGCUAAUACCGCAUAACCAUAGUUACCGCAUGGUAACUAUGUAAAAGGUGGCUAUAAUACCGCUUUUGGAUGGGCCCGCGGCGCAUUAGCUAGUUGGUAGGGUAAAGGCUUACCAAGGCAAUGAUGCGUAGCCGAAUUGAGAGGUUGAUCGGCCACAUUGGGACUGAGACACGGCCCAAACUCCUACGGGAGGCAGCAGUAGGGAAUCUUCCACAAUGGGCGAAAGCCUGAUGGAGCAACGCCGCGUGGGUGAAGAAGGUCUUCGGAUCGUAAAACCCUGUUGUUAGAGAAGAAAGUGCGUGAGAGUAACUGUUCACGUUUCGACGGUAUCUAACCAGAAAGCCACUGCUAACUACGUG